AGUGGUCGAUCGUUUUUAAAACACGGGAGAGGGGAAUACGGUAUGCGGAUGUGUCGUACGCCGCGCCGGUGACGGAGCCCGCAGGCGGCGCCGUGACGGGAGAUUCCCUGAGCCGUGGCUCGGGAAGGCGUUGUACUGCUGAUCCGUGGCUCCGGAAGUGGGACUUCCGCUGGCAGUGGUGGGCAGGCUAGUAAAUGAGGAAUCAGAUCGUCGUCGUGCUGUCCCCCACCUCUGGCCACUCUUUUUUGGAUCGCCAUUGACGCAUCCGGAGGUCGGCGGUGGAUGAAAUACACGGCAGUGCUUGUGGGGAUGGUGUUCCUGAUGCAACCCAUUAUGAGGGCCGCCGUGGUGGAAGAGGUCAACGGCAACCAGCUUCCAAUGGAGCCGCUCCACUAUCCCGCGGUGGCGGCAGGGGCUGAAGAGCUACCCCCCAUGGCGACAGGAAGAUCUGUGUGGCGGAUGGGGCACUCGCAGCCGGGAGGGAUGAUGAACCGCAAGCAUCUAAGCAAUCUAUUGAUCAGAAUGAUCAGAAUGAUAUCGCAGAUUUUGUGGUAGGCUUGUGUGCUUUCCUCAUCGCAGGUGUUUUAGAUAGUAGCACGAACGCAUGGUUAAAACAGAGAGCAUGCCAAUGUCAGUCUGCUUUUAUGGAUAGUGCGUACUGAUGCGAGGGAAUAGAUAUCAACACUGAGCCGGAAAAUGUAUAUUUGGAUACAUAAAUCAUCGAACAAGGAAAUGUAGGGUGGGAUAAAAGCGAGAUUGUUCGAUAUGCUGAACAUAGGGUGAUCAGGCAUGCUAAGAUAUUUCAUGUACAGAUUGUGGGAAAGAUAUGAGAGGCAAAAUACAAAUUAGAAUUGGUGUACAUAUUAUGUUCAUAACCAUAGAUGGAGGUACUAGGAGCAUGUGUGUUUAAAAGAAAAGCGUGCUAGGCUUGGUUUGUUUUGAGGAUAACUUUAGUGAGUAUAUUCCAGAAUUAGGUUGGGAAGCUUUCUGAGAUGCAGCUUGAGUUGACCACAAAUUCUAUGGGUCGUGGCUGGUGAAAAUUGGAAAGUAACUGACAUCCAAAAUGUCGAAAACCCUGAAUGUAGACACAAGAAGGACACCCAUCUGCUUCAUUUCCAGUAGAAAUACAUGCUGUCACAUAUUAAUCUAUCAAAAUGCAGGGUUAGAAUUGGAGUUCCUACUCCAGUAAGGGCGCCUUGCCCUGGGUGACCCAGCGCCCUUGAGAAGGCAAUACGGGGGUUCGCUGACAAACCGGGCAGCAUUGUAAUCGUGCCAGCCCUGGGUACGAGCUUCGAUACACUCGGGGUGGCCUAUGUGAAUGCCCCACCUGGAUUUCAAUCUCUACUUGUGGGAGAAGGGAUUUGGAAUACGGUACGGAAUAGUUGGUUGAAUGUGGAGAGAAAAAAAUGCAUGCAGGAAAUUGUUUGUGGAUCUGCGGGAAAAGCCGGAUUGGAAAACACUGGAUCAUGCCGGUGUGAAUGCCCCACAUUAAUAAGGCUGCUCCGAUCAAAUGACAAUGGUUGGUACAUAGCUGAGCAUCGUGAAGAACACAACCAUUCUCUGUCACCCACAUAUGGGCAGAAAAUACACUGGCCGGCCCACAAGCACAUAGAUGUCUACAACAGAGAUUUGGUGGAGCAGUUGCGACAAAAAAAUGUGAAUCUAGCCAAAGUACACAACAUCAUCGGAAGCUUUUUUGGUUCAAUGGAGAAGGUGCCUUUCACAAAAAGGGCUCUGAAGAAUUUGUGUGGUAAAAUCAGCAGAGAGCGGGCGGAGGAUGAUGUGAGGAAGACUAUGGAGGUUUUCGCAGAUUUGGGUUCAAGAGAUCCACAUUUCACUUAUCAUGUCCAGGCUGAGAAAGAUGGUCGGAUAACGACUCUUAUGUGGGCAAAUGGAAGCGGCAUGUUGCAAACACAUUCUUCGGAGACGUUGUCACCUUCGAUAGGACAUAUAGAACCAACCUGUACAACAUGCCAUUUGGUCUGUUUGUAGGUGUGAAUAAUCAAAUCAUUUCUAGAACAUCAUCCUGAAGGGGGUUUUGGUCCAUGAUGAAAACGAUCGAGGCAUUUUGAGUGGGUUUUCACAGAAUUCAUUAGGAUGAUAUGUGUGUUGGGGGGGGG
Triticum aestivum (bread wheat) is the source of this 2120-nucleotide RNA transcript. It is a transcript of the gene named protein FAR1-RELATED SEQUENCE 11, with no coding region annotated. Lineage: Eukaryota; Viridiplantae; Streptophyta; Magnoliopsida; Poales; Poaceae. The transcript is spliced from 3 exons. The record is from RefSeq and is a predicted model, not a curated record.